AGAAUCAACGCUGGCGGCGUGCCUAACACAUGCAAGUCGAACGAGAAAGUGGAGCAAUCCAUGAGUAAAGUGGCGCACGGGUGAGUAACACGUGACUAACCUACCCAUAAGUGGGGGAUAACCUCGGGAAACCGGGGCUAAUACCGCAUAACACCGAGAGGUCAAAGGAGCAAUUCGCUUUUGGAGGGGGUCGCGGCUGAUUAGUUAGUUGGUAGGGUAAUGGCCUACCAAGACGAUGAUCAGUAUCCGGCCUGAGAGGGCGCACGGACACACUGGAACUGAAACACGGUCCAGACUCCUACGGGAGGCAGCAGUGGGAAUUUUGCGCAAUGGGGGAAACCCUGACGCAGCAACGCCGCGUGGAGGAUGAAGUCCCUUGGGACGUAAACUCCUUUCGAUCGGGACGAUAAUGACGGUACCGAGAGAAGAAGCCCCGGCUAACUUCGUGCCAGCAGCCGC
Molecule: ribosomal RNA, 459 nt
Filed under: uncultured bacterium
Lineage: Bacteria
Description: SSU rRNA
Rfam family: Bacterial small subunit ribosomal RNA
Source: RNAcentral